Molecule: long non-coding RNA, 405 nt
Organism: Sinocyclocheilus grahami
Lineage: Eukaryota; Metazoa; Chordata; Actinopteri; Cypriniformes; Cyprinidae
Exons: 3
Source: RefSeq, a predicted model, not a curated record
GGGCGGAGUCCUCGGAGUCCGUGAAUAAAGGGACUCCAGCUUUCGGGUUUUUAAAAACCUCUUCUCUCUGCGCGUGCGGCGUGUGAGGUGUGUUCUGCGCAUAGACUGUGGUUCUUCGACGAGUCUAAAAGAUUAUGGAAGUGGAAGAGGAAGAGGAAGAGGAAAUUGUGAGACAAGUUAGGAAGAAGAUAAUGCCCAACAAACUGCAUUCCGAUCAUCAGAAGAACAAGAAGAGGAAGAACAAAAAGAAGUCUCAAACUAAAGGGUCAAGAGAUACAAACACAGUGAAACCUGUGAGAUGCAACAGCAUGGAGCGACUUUCACCCACGUUGUCUGGUGAUCAAGCUGUAGAGUCUCAUUCUAAUGAAUCAGAGAAGGUCCAGGAUGAGGUGACUUUACAUUACA